CGAAAGAGGUUCGCAACAAUGAAGACUGCUAAUCUUCAUCCCCCUCGGUUAAACUCCGGGGCUCAUUCGACUC
Molecule: transfer RNA, 73 nt
Filed under: Takifugu ocellatus
Lineage: Eukaryota; Metazoa; Chordata; Actinopteri; Tetraodontiformes; Tetraodontidae
Description: tRNA-Ser(AGY)
Source: RNAcentral